Molecule: ribosomal RNA, 159 nt
Filed under: uncultured Leptolinea sp.
Lineage: Bacteria; Bacillati; Chloroflexota; Anaerolineae; Anaerolineales; Anaerolineaceae
Description: partial 16S ribosomal RNA
Rfam family: Bacterial small subunit ribosomal RNA
Source: RNAcentral
GCUACAAUGGCCAACACAAUAGGUUGCUAAGCCGCGAGGUGGCGCCAAUCCAUAAAGUUGGUCUCAGUUCAGAUUGCAGGCUGUAACCCGCCUGCAUGAAGAUGGAGUUGCUAGUAACCGCAGGUCAGCUAUACUGUGGUGAAUACGUUCCCGGGGCUU